GACGAACGCUGGCGGCGUGCUUAACACAUGCAAGUCGAACGGAAAGGCCCUGCUUUUGUGGGGUGCUCGAGUGGCGAACGGGUGAGUAACACGUGAGUAACCUGCCCUUGACUUUGGGAUAACUUCAGGAAACUGGGGCUAAUACCGGAUAGGAGCUCCUGCUGCAUGGUGGGGGUUGGAAAGUUUCGGCGGUUGGGGAUGGACUCGCGGCUUAUCAGCGUGUUGGUGGGGUAGUGGCUUACCAAGGCUUUGACGGGUAGCCGGCCUGAGAGGGUGACCGGCCACAUUGGGACUGAGAUACGGCCCAGACUCCUACGGGAGGCAGCAGUGGGGAAUAUUGCACAAUGGGGGGAAGCCUGAUGCAGCAACGCCGCGUGCGGGAUGACGGCCUUCGGGUUGUAAACCGCUUUCGCCUGUGACGAAGCGUGAGUGACGGUAAUGGGUAAAGAAGCACCGGCUAACUACGUG
RNAcentral lists this ribosomal RNA (468 nucleotides) under uncultured bacterium. Its description in RNAcentral is "partial 16S ribosomal RNA". It matches the Rfam family "Bacterial small subunit ribosomal RNA", at positions 28 to 507 of the family's 1533-position model. The record is from RNAcentral.